GGUGUGUACUGGUCUUGAUGGAAGCUUACCUCUUGGUGGGUCGGCAUGCCCUUCGUUGGGUGUGUCGAUUAACCAGGACUUUUACUUUGAGAAAAUUAGAGUGUUCAAAGCAGGCUUUCGCCCGAAUACAUUAGCAUGGAAUAAUAGAAUAGGACGCGCGUCUUUAUUUUGUUGGUUUCUAAAUUCGCCGUAAUGAUUAAUAGGGAUAGUCGGGGGCAUUCGUAUUGCUUGGUCAGAGGUGAAAUUCUUGGAUUCUAGCAAGACGAACUACUGCGAAAGCAUUUGCCAAGGAUGUUUUCAUUGAUCAAGAACGAAGGUUAGGGGAUCGAAAACGAUCAGAUACCGUUGUAGUCUUAACAGUAAACUAUGCCGACUAGGGAUCGGACAAGCACAAUCUAUGACUUGUUCGGCACCUGAAGAGAAAUCUUUAAGUCUAGGUUCGGGGGGGAGUAUGGUCGCAAGGCUGAAACUUAAAGGAAUUGACGGAAGGGCACCACCAGGUGUGGAGCCUGCGGCUUAAUUUGACUCAACACGGGGAAACUCACCAGGUCCAGACACAAUAAGGAUUGACAGAUUGAUAGCUCUUUCUUGAUCUUGUGGUUGGUGGUGCAUGGCCGUUCUUAGUUGGUGGAGUGAUUUGUCUGGUUAAUUCCGAUAACGAACGAGACCUUAACCUGCUAAAUAGACCCGGGGCCUUAGGGAACCGGCUGUCUUCUUAGAGGGACUGUAGG
Molecule: ribosomal RNA, 731 nt
Filed under: uncultured eukaryote
Lineage: Eukaryota
Description: SSU rRNA
Rfam family: Eukaryotic small subunit ribosomal RNA
Source: RNAcentral